Long non-coding RNA from Gopherus evgoodei (Goodes thornscrub tortoise), 2431 nucleotides. RefSeq lists it as uncharacterized. The transcript is spliced from 6 exons. The record is from RefSeq and is a predicted model, not a curated record. Lineage: Eukaryota; Metazoa; Chordata; Testudines; Testudinidae.
CUCCCUGCUGCGUGUCAGCCAGGCUGGGCUGCUCCUUGCCUACUCCAUCCUGGGGGAAGCCCAGCAGCGGAUGGGGGACAAGCAGGAGGACGUCACGGCCAACGUGAUGCACCAGCUCCGCAUCAUCCGGCACUUGCGUCAGGUCCUCAAGGCACUGCAAGGGCUGUGCCUCUGAAGAGUCCAGGAACUCCCGCUCCCUGCUGCAGGAGCCUCCUUCCCAGCUGUCUUCCAGGCCCUGAGAUCUGGCACAGCCUCCCAGAUGGGCGCAUCCUGCAGCUGAGCCACCUCGGGGCAAUGGGAACAAGUCACCUCAUCCCCUCAAACCAAGCUGUGCUGGUUCUCAAAGAGGCUGAGAUGGAAGAGCCUGCUCCCUCAUGGAGGCUCUGAAGAAGGCCUGCCCAGAGCCAUGCUUGCCAUGCUGAAGAGCUCGCUGACAGCAAUCCCCAGCACAGACAAUCUCCAGCACAUCUUGGAGGUUCUGUCCCAGCUUCUCACAGAGAUAUAUCCUGCAGCCAGCACAGCUCAGGGAGCAGUGGGGACAGGUGAUCUCAUCCUGUCAAACCAAGCAACAUGAGUCUCACUGAGGCUCAGAUGAAAGAUCCCAUGCAUCUCCUGGAGAGGAUGUGUCCAGGAUCCUGGAGACUCUUUCCUGCAGGAGGUCUGAGUGGGGAGAGAGCACUCAUUGUUAUGACCCAUAGGUCUUCAACCCAGGUCUGCAGGGUUUGUGGGAGCAGCCACACUCCAGCCCUCCACCUGGAAGCCUGCUAACUGCAAACUGCUUACCACAGUUUGAGGUUCCAUUCCUGAGUUCCUAUUGGCAGAGUCCCAGAGCAGCUAAUUGACGCCCUGGCCCUCCUUAAGCCAGCACAGAAACAGGAAGUUGUCUGAACACCUGAGAUUCUCCCUGUUCUAGACCAUGUGCUACCUGCUCCAGCUCCCUCUGCCCCAGCUUGAUUUCCUGGCAUCCAGACUCGGUGUGACUCAUGGCAUCUGAUUUGUGGUUGUGAUUGCAAGUUUGUCUUUUGCUUUGGGUCUUCCAGUAUCCUGACCCAGCUGACUCUCAGCUCCUGUCUUGUGAGUGUGGACUCUGGCUCUGACCACUAGGUCUGGCUGCUCCUGACCUGACACUGACUUUUGUACAAUUUCUCCAAUGCCCUUUUCAGCUCCCCAGCUCUGCUACCUCCAGCAAGACACACCAAUCCCUUGGCUCCCAGAGUCUUGGUUGCCUGCUAUUCCAGGGCUGAGGGGUAGUGCUUGUAUUGCCCCCACCUCAGCUGCUUUUCCUAUGGGAAUCUCUCUAGAGCAGAGGAGAAAUCUCCUCUUCUCUUAGAAUCAGUCCUGGCAGCAACUCCACCCACCCUGGCCUCAGCUGAGCUACUUUCUUUACCUGGGAUCAAGGACCAGUUUUGAGGCUUUUGGCAUGUAGGUGUAGGUGGGGGCAGAUGCUCGAGCUCCAGCAGUUCCCACUGGAGGAUACCGCCCUAUCUUUCUAUGGUCUGACUAGGGCUCACCGUCCAUCCAGGAUCUGAACACCAGAUGGGAGCUGAUAGAUUGUCCUUGGUGGGCCAUGUUCCUGUGUGGGAUGGAGCUGUGUGCCAGAGAGGGCCAGGAGAAGGUGCACCACACAUGGCCAGGACUGGGCUAAACAAUCUGUAAUGACAGAUGAGUCAAACCAUGGCCACAUAAAGAUACCUUGGGCAUCCAUGGGGACUGAAUCUGGGCCCUUUGCUGCCAAGAGCACAACUCACUCCAACUUGAGUCAUUACGGUAGUGACCCCUGCCAGCCCCUCUGAGGGGGGUCUGUAUUAUCUCUGUUAGCUGGUGCAUGGGGAUAAAAAGUGACUGACUGCAAGGUCACCCACAACGGCACUGAGCAGGGCAGGACUGAAGCACAGCCCUGAUAACACUCCAGCUUCAACCACUAGACCACACUCAUUUCCAAAGCCAGAGAACUCAGGAGCCCUGACUCUCACAGCCAGUCCUUAAAUGACAAGAGCAAACUCCCUCCCACCCAGGAAGCCAUAGAAAGGACCAUCUGCUGAGCCCUGCUCUGCAAUGUCACUGUCAGAGACCAUUGCUGAUGGGUGCCAGGUGACUGAGCAGGGAGCUCCUGGAGAGACUCCUAGGGAAUGGUCAGUCAUGUUUCACUGUGACCCUCUGGGAGCCAUGGAAAGAGUGCAGCACUGAAGACACUUUUCUGCUCUAACAAAGGGUUUAUGUUCUCCUAGAAAGUCAGCCAGUGAGGCCAGUUUGCAGAAUGUGGAAGAGCUGUUUGGCGAUGGGUUGGAGGAUUCAUCAUGUAGGUGGCAGCGGAUGGAAGUGAAAGAGUAAAGCUGGACCAUCCGCUGAGCUGCUGCAAUCAAGUGAGCACAGCCAGGGAGAGAAGAGGGAGAACUCAAAGGUGGCUGGCAGCUGCAGGGGGGAAAAGCAG